Molecule: long non-coding RNA, 306 nt
Filed under: Hordeum vulgare
Lineage: Eukaryota; Viridiplantae; Streptophyta; Magnoliopsida; Poales; Poaceae
Description: long non-coding RNA (HVUL_LNC014421)
Source: RNAcentral
UACGGUGACCUGGAGGAGGUGCUGGCGCGGGCGGCGACGGCGGACCGGACGGUGAUCAUGACGCAGAUCAACGCGGCCUGGACCAAGCCGGGCUCCCUGCUCGACCUCUUCUUCGAGAGCUUCCGGACGGGGGAGGGCGGCGUGGCGCGGCUGCUCGACCACCUCGUCAUCGUCACCAUGGACCCGGCGGCGUACGCCGGGUGCCAGCUCGUGCACCGGCACUGCUACUUCCUCAGGACCACCGGCGUCGACUACCGCGGCGAGAAGUUCUUCAUGAGCAAGGACUACCUCGAGAUGAUGUGGGGC